UACGUAGGGGGCAAGCGUUGUCCGGAUUUAUUGGGCGUAAAGGGCGUGUAGGCGGCCAGAUAGGUCCGUUGUGAAAACUGGAGGCUUAACCUCCAGCUGUCGAUGGAAACCAUCUGGCUAGAGUCCGGAAGAGGAGAGUGGAAUUCCUGGUGUAGCGGUGAAAUGCGCAGAUAUCAGGAAGAACACCCGUGGCGAAGGCGGCUCUCUGGGACGGUACUGACGCUGAGACGCGAAAGCGUGGGGAGCGAACAGG
This 253-nucleotide ribosomal RNA is filed under the name uncultured bacterium. Its description in RNAcentral is "partial 16S ribosomal RNA". It matches the Rfam family "Bacterial small subunit ribosomal RNA", at positions 524 to 776 of the family's 1533-position model. The record is from RNAcentral.